This 73-nucleotide transfer RNA is filed under the name Opitutaceae bacterium. RNAcentral describes it as "tRNA-Thr". It matches the Rfam family "tRNA". From Rfam's summary of the family: Transfer RNA (tRNA) molecules are approximately 80 nucleotides in length. Their secondary structure includes four short double-helical elements and three loops (D, anti-codon, and T loops). Lineage: Bacteria; Pseudomonadati; Verrucomicrobiota; Opitutia; Opitutales; Opitutaceae. The record is from RNAcentral.
GCCCGUCAGACGUAGGGAGCGACGUGCCGGUCUUGUAAGCCGGACGAGGCCGGUGCGACUCCGGCGGCGGGCU